Pelobates cultripes (western spadefoot toad) is the source of this 279-nucleotide non-coding RNA. The record is from the annotation of a GenBank genome assembly. NCBI's taxonomy places the organism in Eukaryota, Metazoa, Chordata, Amphibia, Anura, Pelobatidae.
CAAAGAAUGCCCAAGCCGUCCUAUGUACUUACCCGGUCGCCAGCGAUCCCACGCCUGUCAGCCCAGGGAGUCCCCCUCCUUCCUUUCCGGCCCCCCUGAGCCAUGUGAUCGCGAGGUCCUAUCAACUUUCAAUGGUACUUUCUGGGCCUAUCAUGGUGACCACGGGUAACGGGGAAUCAGAAUUCGAUUCCGGAGAGGGAGCCUGAGAAAGGGCUACCACAUCCAAGGAAGGCAGCAGGCGCGCAAAUUAGCCACUCCCGACGCAGGAAGGUAGUGAUG